CCUACGGGAGGCUGCAGUGGGGAAUAUUGGGCAAUGGGCGCAAGCCUGACCCAGCAACGUCGCGUGAAGGAAGAAGGCCCUCCGGUUGUAAACUUCUUUUGUCUGGGACGAAACAAAUGACGGUACCUGCCGUAUAAGCCAUGGCUAACUACGUGCCAGCAGCCGCGGUAAUACGGAGGGGGCAAGCGUUAUCCGGAUUUACUGGGUGUAACGGGCGUGUAGGCGGGUGAGCAAGUCAGAUGUGAAAUUCCAGGGCUCAACCCUGGAACUGCAGUUGAAACUGGUUGUCUUGAGUGAAGAAGAGGCAGGCGGAAUUCCGGGUGUAGCGGUGAAAUGCGUAGAUAUACGGAGGAACACCAGUGGCGAAGGCGACCUGCUGGACAUUAACUGACGCUGAGGCGCGAAAGCGUGGGGAGCAAACAGGAUUAGAUACCCUUGUAGUC
This 443-nucleotide ribosomal RNA is filed under the name uncultured bacterium. RNAcentral describes it as "partial 16S ribosomal RNA". It matches the Rfam family "Bacterial small subunit ribosomal RNA", at positions 338 to 795 of the family's 1533-position model. The record is from RNAcentral.